RNAcentral lists this ribosomal RNA (379 nucleotides) under Ralstonia sp. FeGH20. Its description in RNAcentral is "partial 16S rRNA". It matches the Rfam family "Bacterial small subunit ribosomal RNA", at positions 41 to 450 of the family's 1533-position model. The record is from RNAcentral. Lineage: Bacteria; Pseudomonadati; Pseudomonadota; Betaproteobacteria; Burkholderiales; Burkholderiaceae.
GGCANNCCUUACNCAUNCAAGUCNAUNUACCUAGAUUGAGCGAGUGGCGAACGGGUGAGUAAUACAUCGGAACGUGCCCUGUAGUGGGGGAUAACUAGUCGAAAGAUUAGCUAAUACCGCAUACGACCUGAGGGUGAAAGGCCUCAUGCAUAGGAGCGGCCGAUGUCUGAUUAGCUAGUUGGUGGGGUAAAGGCCCCCCAAGGCGACGAUCAGUAGCUGGUNNGAGAGGNCGAUCAGCCACACUGGGACUGAGACNCGGCCCAGACUCCUACGGGAGGCAGCAGUGGGGAAUUUUGGACAAUGGGCGAAAGCCUGAUCCAGCAAUGCCGCGUGUGUGAAGAAGNCUUCGGGUUGUAAAGCACUUUUGUCCGGAAAGAAA